AAAAGCUUUCUUUAAUUGAAUAAUUGAAUUUAAUUUUUUAGUGCAAAAGCAAAAAUAAAAAUUAGGGACAAGAAGACCCUAUGAAUUUUUUAUUAAAUUUUAUAAAACUUUAUAUAAAAUUUAAUUUAAUUGGGGUGAUGGAAAAAGAAUAAAUAUCUUUUUUUUUAAAAAAAUUGGUUCCGUUUUUAGCGAUUAAAUGAAAAAAAUACUCUAGGGAUAACAGCGUAAUAAUUUUGGAUAGUUCAUAUAGAUAAAAUAGUUUGCGACCUCGAUGUUGGAUUAGGAUUCUUUUUUGGNGAANAAGUUAAAAAAA
RNAcentral lists this ribosomal RNA (313 nucleotides) under Ixodes ricinus (castor bean tick). RNAcentral describes it as "partial large subunit ribosomal RNA". The record is from RNAcentral. Lineage: Eukaryota; Metazoa; Arthropoda; Arachnida; Ixodida; Ixodidae.